Molecule: non-coding RNA, 27 nt
Filed under: Homo sapiens (human)
Lineage: Eukaryota; Metazoa; Chordata; Mammalia; Primates; Hominidae
Source: RNAcentral
AUGGAGCAAAUGAAUCGGACUAUCAAA